This 75-nucleotide transfer RNA is filed under the name Dulcicalothrix desertica PCC 7102. RNAcentral describes it as "Calothrix desertica PCC 7102 tRNA-Lys". It matches the Rfam family "tRNA". From Rfam's summary of the family: Transfer RNA (tRNA) molecules are approximately 80 nucleotides in length. Lineage: Bacteria; Bacillati; Cyanobacteriota; Cyanophyceae; Nostocales; Calotrichaceae. The record is from RNAcentral.
GGGUGACUAGCUCAAUGGUAGAGCAUAGGACUCUUAAUCCUCUGGUUUUGGGUUCGAGUCCCAAGUCACCCACUA